RNAcentral lists this ribosomal RNA (253 nucleotides) under uncultured bacterium. RNAcentral's name for it is "partial 16S ribosomal RNA". It matches the Rfam family "Bacterial small subunit ribosomal RNA", at positions 524 to 776 of the family's 1533-position model. The record is from RNAcentral.
UACGAAGGGGGCUAGCGUUGUUCGGAAUCACUGGGCGUAAAGGGCGCGUAGGCGGCUUUGUAAGUCGGGGGUGAAAGCCUGUGGCUCAACCACAGAAUUGCCUUCGAUACUGCAUGGCUUGAGACCGGAAGAGGUAAGUGGAACUGCGAGUGUAGAGGUGAAAUUCGUAGAUAUUCGCAAGAACACCAGUGGCGAAGGCGGCUUACUGGUCCGGUUCUGACGCUGAGGUGCGAAAGCGUGGGGAGCAAACAGG